GCCAGCGUAGCUCAACCGGCAGAGCUCCCGCCUUGUAAGCGGGGGGUUGUGAGUUCGACUCUCACCGCUGGCU
Molecule: non-coding RNA, 73 nt
Organism: Planctomycetes bacterium DG_58
Lineage: Bacteria; Pseudomonadati; Planctomycetota
Source: Rfam